CUGCACUUUAAAGAUAUAAGAAAAUUACUGCUAUUUGUUUUACUGUUACUUUAAUAAAUCACCAUUACCACACCGUUCGAGAUAUCCUAAAUCCGUCCGCAAUUUAAAAUCUUCAGUAUAUUGGCAUCAUGUUGACAAAGUUUGGUGUGAACUACUUGUUUCUGUUUGGAGCAGUAUAAAUCUCUUUAUUAUAUUUUAUUUACUUUAUUAUACUUAUAUUUUAGUCCCUAAAAUUACACAAAUAAUACAUACAACUGUUCCUGACACUGUCUUACAUGUAAUUGACACGCUUCUGUUGAAUAUUUACUUUACAGAAAUGGUUCAGUGUCAUCGGAAAAAGUCCGUUAGCAUCACAACCGUGAGCUAACCAGAGGCUAACUAUAAGAGUCUUCCAUGCUGAUGGCCGUGCAGCAGAGUUGGAGAGGACCUCUUGUCGAAGAACAUCUCCAAGACACUAUGAGCAUCUGACUAGUCCCGACUGCCACCAGUUGAGUCAAUGAUUCAGUGAGUUGCUUGUGGAGAGACAGUCUGGGCAGCAGCAACAAGACAACUAUUACAAGUAGAGAUGGGUUUCAAGAACUGGUGCUACUUUGGUUCCUGACUUGUUCAGUACUGAAAAAAAUGGAUAUAAGCUACAGGAUCAAUAGUGCUGCUAUCAGUAUUUUAGUAACGUUGAUUCAUUACCCUUUAGACACAACCACACAUCAUCCAAACCAUCUCCACGUGGAUGGCUGCAAGGAUCCAGGAUCAAGAGAUCAUUCAUCAUGAAGACUGUUCCAUAGCAAGCAGCGAAUCCUGGGUGAAAGACUAAACCUGGUUGUUUCAGCAUCACUCAGGCAAGACUAAAUACAUUUAAACUGAUUUCAGUAGGUUAUAUGUUUCAGGUCAUCCUGACCAUUGUCUUGUCCAGAAUUUGAAGACAUGCUGGAACUGUAUUUCUCAUGGUUGAAAGAUUUGUGCAGCGGUAUCCAGACAUAUAAGCAGCCUUCCUGGACCCACACGACUAAAGGCUCUGGAGGAGAGACAGAUUCAAGGGAAAGAUGAAAAAUAAGGAAGUCUGGGAACGACUGAAGAAGACCGCAGCGAGGGAAGGAAGUCAUCAUCACAAUGUAAUGUUUGGAGCACAUCCUCAGGACCCGGACUAAAGAAUCUCACAGCAACUGUGGUAAUAACAGGAGACCCAUUUGGUGAGCAGCAGAUUCUCCUGAUGUGUCUGUUGGAGGAGAUCAUGGACCCUUUUCACAAGACGAUGAUGCAUUUCAGCGGUCAUCAUCGUAAAUCCUCGAUUUAAAAAAUAAAAAAUUAUAUAUAUAUUUUGAUUUUUAAAAAAUUAUGUACAUUUAUAAC
Molecule: long non-coding RNA, 1347 nt
Organism: Onychostoma macrolepis
Lineage: Eukaryota; Metazoa; Chordata; Actinopteri; Cypriniformes; Cyprinidae
Exons: 8
Source: RefSeq, a predicted model, not a curated record